Molecule: ribosomal RNA, 468 nt
Filed under: uncultured bacterium
Lineage: Bacteria
Description: partial 16S ribosomal RNA
Rfam family: Bacterial small subunit ribosomal RNA
Source: RNAcentral
GACGAACGCUGGCGGCGUGCUUAACACAUGCAAGUCGAACGGAAAGGCCCUGCUCUUGUGGUGUUCUCGAGUGGCACGCGGGUGAGACACACGUGAAUCACCUGCCCUUGACUUUGGUAUAACUUGAGGACACUGGGUCUAAUCCCAGAUAGGCUCCCCUGCUGCGUGGGGGGGGUUGGAAUGUUUCGGCGGUUGGGUAUGGUCUCGGGGCUUCUCCGCUUGUUGGGGGGGUAGUGGUUUCCAAAGGUUUUGGCGGGGAGCCGGCCUGAGGGGGGGACCGGCAACAUUGGGACUGAGAUACGCCCAAGACUCCUACGGGAGGCAGCAGUGGGAAAUAUUGCAAAAUGGGGGGAAGCCUGAUGCAGCAACGCCGCGUGCGGGAUGACGGCCUUCGGGUUGUAAACCGCUUCCGCCUGUGACGAAGCGUGAGUGACGGUAAUGGGUAAAGAAGCACCGGCUAACUACGUG